CGACUGUUUACCUAAAACACAGGGCUAUGCUAAGUCGUACGACGACGUAUAUGGCCUGACGCCUGCCCGGUGCUGGAAGGUUAAGAGGAGAAGUGCAAGCUUUGAAUCGAAGCCCCAGUAAACGGCGGCCGUAACGAUAACGGUCCUAAGGUAGCGAAAUUCCUUGUCGGGUAAGUUCCGACCUGCACGAAUGGCGUAACGAUGGCCACACUGUCUCCACC
This 221-nucleotide ribosomal RNA is filed under the name Tiarina fusus. Its description in RNAcentral is "Tiarina fusa partial Bacterial large subunit ribosomal RNA". It matches the Rfam family "Bacterial large subunit ribosomal RNA", at positions 1797 to 2026 of the family's 2925-position model. Lineage: Eukaryota; Ciliophora; Prostomatea; Prorodontida; Colepidae. The record is from RNAcentral.